RNAcentral lists this ribosomal RNA (301 nucleotides) under uncultured bacterium. RNAcentral's name for it is "partial 16S ribosomal RNA". It matches the Rfam family "Bacterial small subunit ribosomal RNA", at positions 509 to 809 of the family's 1533-position model. The record is from RNAcentral.
CAGUCGCCACGGGAAUACGUAGGUGGCAAGCGUUGUCCGGAAUUAUUGGGCGUAAAGCGCGCGCAGGCGGAUCGGUCAGUCUGUCUUAAAAGUUCGGGGCUUAGCCCCGUGAUGGGAUGGAAACUGCCAAUCUAGAGUAUCGGAGAGGAAAGUGGAAUUCCUAGUGUAGCGGUGAAAUGCGUAGAUAUUAGGAAGAACACCAGUGGCGAAGGCGACUUUCUGGACGAAAACUGACGCUGAGGCGCGAAAGCCAGGGGAGCGAACGGGAUUAGAUACCCCAGUAGUCCCUGUCUCUUAUACA